This 707-nucleotide ribosomal RNA is filed under the name uncultured bacterium. RNAcentral describes it as "bacterial SSU rRNA". It matches the Rfam family "Bacterial small subunit ribosomal RNA", at positions 71 to 747 of the family's 1533-position model. The record is from RNAcentral.
UUCUUUAUCACCGAGUGCUUGCACUCACCGAUAAAGUUUUGAGUGGCGAACGGGUGAGUAACACGUGGGCAACCUGCCCAAAAGAGGGGGAUAACACUUGGAAACAGGUGCUAAUACCGCAUAACCAUAGUUACCGCAUGGUAACUAUGUAAAAGGUGGCUAUGCUACCGCUUUUGGAUGGGCCCGCGGCGCAUUAGCUAGUUGGUGGGGUAAAGGCUUACCAAGGCAAUGAUGCGUAGCCGAACUGAGAGGUUGAUCGGCCACAUUGGGACUGAGACACGGCCCAAACUCCUACGGGAGGCAGCAGUAGGGAAUCUUCCACAAUGGGCGAAAGCCUGAUGGAGCAACGCCGCGUGGGUGAAGAAGGUCUUCGGAUCGUAAAACCCUGUUGUUAGAGAAGAAAGUGCGUGAGAGUAACUGUUCACGUUUCGACGGUAUCUAACCAGAAAGCCACGGCUAACUACGUGCCAGCAGCCGCGGUAAUACGUAGGUGGCAAGCGUUAUCCGGAUUUAUUGGGCGUAAAGGGAACGCAGGCGGUCUUCUAAGUCUGAUGUGAAAGCCUUCGGCUUAACCGGAGUAGUGCAUUGGAAACUGGGAGACUUGAGUGCAGAAGAGGAGAGUGGAACUCCAUGUGUAGCGGUGAAAUGCGUAGAUAUAUGGAAGAACACCAGUGGCGAAAGCGGCUCUCUGGUCUGUAACUGACGCU